This 82-nucleotide transfer RNA is filed under the name Geotrichum candidum. It matches the Rfam family "tRNA". From Rfam's summary of the family: Transfer RNA (tRNA) molecules are approximately 80 nucleotides in length. Their secondary structure includes four short double-helical elements and three loops (D, anti-codon, and T loops). The record is from Rfam by way of RNAcentral. Lineage: Eukaryota; Fungi; Ascomycota; Dipodascomycetes; Dipodascales; Dipodascaceae.
GGCACUAUGGCCGAGCGGUUAAGGCGAAAGAUUAGAAAUCUUUUGGGAUUUUCCCGCGCAGGUUCGAGUCCUGCUGGUAUCG